UUGUGUGAUUAGUUUCAAUUAGUUUCAAGUAAAAAUCAAAUCAUCGACAUAUAGACAUAUUAUAACAAUAUCUCAAAAAUUUGUGCAUUUAACAUAUAAAGUAU
Ipomoea nil (Japanese morning glory) is the source of this 104-nucleotide long non-coding RNA. RefSeq lists it as uncharacterized. The record is from RefSeq and is a predicted model, not a curated record. The transcript has 3 exons. NCBI's taxonomy places the organism in Eukaryota, Viridiplantae, Streptophyta, Magnoliopsida, Solanales, Convolvulaceae.